This 222-nucleotide ribosomal RNA is filed under the name uncultured bacterium. RNAcentral's name for it is "partial 16S ribosomal RNA". It matches the Rfam family "Bacterial small subunit ribosomal RNA", at positions 524 to 745 of the family's 1533-position model. The record is from RNAcentral.
UACAGAGGGUGCGAGCGUUGUCCGGAAUCACUGGGCGUAAAGGGCGCGUAGGUGGCGACCCAAGUCGAUGGUGAAAGCUCGCCGCUCAACGGCGAGUCGGCCACCGAUACUGGGUUGCUGGAGCACUGUAGAGGCUCAUGGAAUUCCGGGUGUAGCGGUGGAAUGCGUAGAGAUCCGGAAGAACACCGGUGGCGAAGGCGGUGAGCUGGGCAGUUGCUGACA